Molecule: long non-coding RNA, 1997 nt
Filed under: Homo sapiens (human)
Lineage: Eukaryota; Metazoa; Chordata; Mammalia; Primates; Hominidae
Description: non-protein coding lnc-PRCP-1:1
Source: RNAcentral
UUCCAUGUUGUAUGUAGUACUUUGCCUCUCAUAACAUGUUCAAUUAAAUAUCUGUUAAUUCAUAGCUAAUGAUUUUUUUAAUGGGGCCUCGUUCUUCUGCCACAAGUGCAUCCCACCUUUAUCUUUCAGGGAAGAGGUUGGUUGCACGUUGUUAGGCCAAGAGACUGGCCCUCCAUUAUGCCCUAUGCUGGACUUGCUUUGUCGGUCCAUUCAUUGAUGUCCUGUUGAAUCAAAAGGUAUUGUUUUAGUAGAAGUUACAUGAAGUAUAUUCAUUUAUCACUUGCUAAACAUAGGCCUUGCUCUGUUUAAUAAAUAAUGGGUGUCUCUUUCAAGAUUUUAGGAUAGGCCUUUUUAACAGAGCAGAAUCUUCUGUUAAAGUUCUCACAAACAGACCAACUCCCAAGAGAGAUGGGCUGGUGGGUCACUGACAUAAAGCAGUCCACAAGAUCUAUUUUAGAAAAGUAUCAAUGACAUUUCCUUAGUUGGUUUGAUUCUCUUGAGAAUACAUGAGUUUAAAAGAACUGAGGUCAAAUUGCUUUAUGUGGAAAGCAAUAAAAACAAGUAUUUUUGACUUGCAAAUUAGAGGUAACUGUAAGCAAUUUUUGCUAUUGAAGCCUAUGGCCCAAAUUAUUCCACCUGCAAAAUAACUUUCACCCUUGCAAGGCUGAUAGACGGCUCUUCAUUGGUCUUUUUUUAUGGUUUUGUUUUGUUUUUUUAAGUCAUUGGUCUUAAAUCUGUAUGGUGACAAAUCUAUUUGAGUUUGAUUGAGACUUUCUUGGACUCCUUUGGACAAGAGGUCAGAGCACAAAGGCUAGUCACCACUUCUUUGACUUCUUGAGGUAUGAGCCAAAAUUUUACUUUUCCAUUGAUUUAAAGCAGAAUUUUUGGAGAUGCUGUGUUCUAGUUCCUGACGGAAUCGGUGGUGGUUGCUGACUUUGACACUUUGGAGAGUGAUGUGGGGAGUUAUAUAGAAGGGGAAACACUAGUUUAGGUGUGAGGAGUUCUAGUAUGCCACAAAUUAGCUGAGACUUUAGACGAAGCACAAUAUUUGAGCAUCAAUCUUCUCAUCUAUGAGAUAGACCUGUCAGGAUUAUUGUGAAAAUUAGAUGAGAUAAGUUGAAAGUACAGUGCUUGGUAAACAGUUAGCACUCAAAUAUUAGUUCUUUUUCACUUUAAUUAAGAGCAGACUUUGAAUGGUCUGAUGCCAAGUGUAGAUCCUUAAGAGACAAAACAAAGAAACUUUCCUGGCUUCAAAGAAAAGAACUCCAUUUCUGAAAGGGUGCCUUAAAAGGAAUUCAUUUGUCUGAUCCAUCCUUUUGCCUUUGGGCAUUACUACUGUCACCCUCCAUUUCUUUACAAACUUCAGGCAAGGUGGUCUCUCUCUCUCUCCCAAUAGGCAAUUCCAGGGUUGUAAACUCAUUAUCAGGAAGCUUAAUCUUAGAACUGAAAUACCUCACAGAGCAAUUUAAACCUCUUUCUUCUUGUUCCUAUUCUUCAUGGGAAGAAAACUGGGUUGAUCCCUAUCUUCUUUUUAAGGAGCCACAUUUGCCAUUUAUUAUUGCUCUUUUGCCUAUUUAAAAAAAAUAACAGUCAGAAAAAAUAAUGAUUAUUAAAAUGAUAGUCAUUAUUUACUUAGUGAAUGUCAGGAUAGGUAUUUAUUACUCUUAGCUUCUUAUUGGUAUCAGAUGUAGAUCACGGUCUUACUGUUGAUUAACUCUUCAGUUAUAUAUACAUACUUUGAUUCUUUAGUUACAUAAUUGAUAACAAAGUGUGCUUCUGAAGAAUUAUUCUGGCUGUAUGGCUCUUGUUUCCUCCCCUUGGUAAAAAUGGAGGCAUGAAUCUCGGUUUUGUGAUCUGCUUUUAAUUUCAUAUAUGACAUUAUUUGAUGUACAUAAUUACCAACAUCCAAAAGCGUUUCUUCCCCUUUCUACGUGUGCACUAAAUUCUAAAACAAAAAUUGGAAUACAAAAUGCCUAAUAAAGAAAAAAUUCAUGUAC